CGCAAAAUUGCGGCGGGGUUAAACAUGUUUAUGAGAUCUCAACCCUCCCCCUAUACCUCUAGCUAAUGUAGAAAAGUAAACGCAUAACAAUACGCACAUUAAAAUUCAGUUCAGAGAAGUCCGAGUCCGAUGUCAAAGAUGUAACAAAAGAAAAUAAAUAAAAUGACAAUAAUACAUAAAUAACAACAGACUACUAGCAGUUAACUGACAUGCCAGCUCAAGAC
This 224-nucleotide long non-coding RNA is filed under the name Mytilus galloprovincialis (Mediterranean mussel). Lineage: Eukaryota; Metazoa; Mollusca; Bivalvia; Mytilida; Mytilidae. The record is from RNAcentral.